CCCACAGUGGAGGUGUCAUAAUACCCAUAACACCUAGUGGUCAAACAGGGAAAUGGUUCCAAUAGUUUUAUAGAGCCCCACAGUGGAGGUGUCAUAAUACCCAUAACACCUUGUGGUCAAACAGGGAAAUGGUUCCAAUAGUUUGAUAGAGCCCCACAGUGGAGGUGUCAUAAUACCCAUAACACCUAGCGGUCAAACAGGGAAAUGGUUCCAAUAGUAUUUCCAAUAAAACACAUGAGCUGGCGCACACCCAAAGAUUUUUAUUUUUUUAUGUGGAAGUUCUGACUAAUGGCUAAUAAACUAUAAGCUAUAAAAAUAAGGAGAGUGGCACACUCCAUACAGUGAGG
Molecule: long non-coding RNA, 347 nt
Filed under: Salmo salar (Atlantic salmon)
Lineage: Eukaryota; Metazoa; Chordata; Actinopteri; Salmoniformes; Salmonidae
Description: lncRNA (ENSSSAG00000100055.1)
Source: RNAcentral